This 373-nucleotide ribosomal RNA is filed under the name uncultured organism. RNAcentral's name for it is "partial 16S ribosomal RNA". It matches the Rfam family "Bacterial small subunit ribosomal RNA", at positions 527 to 896 of the family's 1533-position model. The record is from RNAcentral.
GGAGGGGGCAAGCGUUGUUCGGAAUUACUGGGCGUAAAGGGCACGUAGGCGGCCUGAUUAGUCAGGCGUGAAAUCCCAUGGCUCAACCAUGGAAUUGCGUUUGAUACUGCCAGGCUUGAGUAUGGGAGAGGAGAGUGGAAUUCCUAGUGUAGCGGUGAAAUGCGCAGAUAUUAGGAGGAACACCAGUGGCGAAGGCGACUCUCUGGCCCGAUACUGACGCUGAGGUGCGAAAGCGUGGGGAGCGAACGGGAUUAGAUACCCCGGUAGUCCACGCUGUAAACCGAUGGGUACUAGGUGUAGGGGAGUAUGAAAUCUUCUGUGCCGAAGCUAACGCAUUAAGUACCCCCCGCCUGGGAGUACGAUCGCAAGAUUG